RNAcentral lists this ribosomal RNA (253 nucleotides) under uncultured bacterium. Its description in RNAcentral is "partial 16S ribosomal RNA". It matches the Rfam family "Bacterial small subunit ribosomal RNA", at positions 524 to 776 of the family's 1533-position model. The record is from RNAcentral.
UACGUAGGUGGCGAGCGUUGUCCGGAAUUACUGGGUGUAAAGGGCGUGUAGGCGGGAAUGUAAGUCAGAUGUGAAAUUCCACGGCUCAACCGUGGCGCUGCAUCUGAAACUAUGUUUCUUGAGUGCUGGAGAGGAAAGCGGAAUUCCUAGUGUAGCGGUGAAAUGCGUAGAUAUUAGGAGGAACACCAGUGGCGAAGGCGGCUUUCUGGACAGUAACUGACGCUAAGGCGCGAAAGCGUGGGGAGCAAACAGG